UUGGAAUUUUGGUUUUUCCGAUUCAC
Molecule: non-coding RNA, 26 nt
Filed under: Mus musculus (house mouse)
Lineage: Eukaryota; Metazoa; Chordata; Mammalia; Rodentia; Muridae
Source: RNAcentral